AACGCACGAGACCUGCGGACCUGCGGAGGGAUCAUUAAUGAGAAACUGCCCCUCGCGGGUAGAUCUCCCACCCUUUGUAAACUUACCUUUGUUGCUUUGGCAGGCCCGUCUCCGGACCGCCGGCUUCGGCUGGCCAGUGCCUGCCAGAGGAUUCUAAAACUCUGUCUGUCAGUGCUGUCUGAGUCUAUAUACAAUCGUUAAAACUUUCAACAACGGAUCUCUAGAUCGGAAGAGCACACG
RNAcentral lists this unclassified non-coding RNA (240 nucleotides) under soil metagenome. RNAcentral describes it as "partial contains 5.8S ribosomal RNA, internal transcribed spacer 2, and large subunit ribosomal RNA". The record is from RNAcentral.